This 29-nucleotide non-coding RNA is filed under the name Mus musculus (house mouse). The record is from RNAcentral. Lineage: Eukaryota; Metazoa; Chordata; Mammalia; Rodentia; Muridae.
UGCAGAUGCUGCUGCUGUUGCCCAAAGGA